Molecule: long non-coding RNA, 461 nt
Organism: Strigops habroptila (Kakapo)
Lineage: Eukaryota; Metazoa; Chordata; Aves; Psittaciformes; Psittacidae
Exons: 2
Source: RefSeq, a predicted model, not a curated record
GUGGCCCGGCGAGCACGUGACCCGCCGACGCCGUGCGGAGGGGAUGAGCGCGGGGCGAUGUCGGCGCCGCCAUCUUGAGAGCCGCGCGCCCACCCCCUGCCCCCCCGCCGCGGUCACGUGGCGGCGGGUGAACCCCAACCCUGUAUCUAGGGAAGGAAAACCACAACCUCACACCCCAGGACGAAGAGCGCAAGUGCUUUGGUGAAUUGUUGUAAAUCCUGCUGCUGUGAUCCCAAGGGAAAAAAGAAGAGAUGAUUACACCUGCUUUUGGGGGCGGGUUGUGAUUUACAUGGAUCAGGAACACUGGCUUGGCCAAGAUUUCUCUCCGAAAAAGAACUGAAAGUCAACAGAGAUGGACAUUCCGGUUGCAUUUCCACAGCAGCGGUUUAACAAGCUCUUUGUUUUCACGUUUGCCUGUACCGGUACCACACGCCAGGUCAUUACAGAACAGUAACUCCUCA